GGAGAUGUGCUCUAUCUUAUGCUUUGGAAUUCGUUGUUCUAAGUUUCCCCUUUGAGUGUGUUAAUUAGAGUCACAUGAAGGGAGUUAAAUACCCUUGAAUCUCCAACCUAAUAAUCCAAAAGUUUUCUCACUUUCUCACUCGAGCACUACAAGCACUUAAUUCAAAAGACUAAGUCUUCUAAUUAUGCAGCAGACUUAAGUAACAUGAAUUUUCUGAUGCAAUGAAGAUCCAGAAACAGUUUUCUAAUAUACACUGAAACAGUUUUAAGAGUUUUCAUCUGUUUGUUACAGUUUUUGAAUAGCUAGUUCGUCAGUAUUAUGCUUAUUUGAAAACUAGUUCACAGGAAUUAACACCUUGUCAUAAUGUGUUGGCUUAAGUUCUAGAACAAGGUUUUAGCUAAACUGUGUUUUCUGAACUAGUAACAAAAAAUAUUCUUGAGAAGGCCAGUUUCCAAUUUCUGGUUAAAUGAUAAUUUGUGCAAACAAAAGUUCAAUUUUACAAAACUUAAAAUAGAGCAAGGAAGAAAGAAAUGCACAUGGUAUUUAUACUGGUUUCACCCACAAAAGUUUUGGACUAUGUUGAAUCCCCACACAUUGGAUUUUUUACUAUGUAACAAGCCUCCUCAAGCUCCACCUUGAAAUAUUAUUUGUCCUAGAUAGUAGCCUCUCUAGGCUACACAGUACUCACCUCUCAGCCAAUACUAACCAACGUAAUAGCUAGGGAUAAUACCAAAAUACUAUACAAAGACGGGAAUCUAUACUAGAUUACUAGUUAGGUGAAAGAAAGUCAAACAACAGUUAAUUACCCAUUUUGUCCUUCACUUAAUAGACGCCUUCCUUUUGUUUUAAUUGCUAAUACAGUGACUGCAUAGUAGUGCUGAUAUGAUAGGACAGAAACUAAGAAAACCUGGAUAAAAUGAUCAAACAAAAAUAAAUAAGCUGAACCAACGUUGAAAUGGAGAUUAUAGAUUGUAUUGGAUUUUUUACUUUACCAAUGGAGCCAAGCUCUUUACAAGAAAAUAUAGUUGACAAUGGAUGAAAAUGCAACCCAGCCAGACUGCUCUCCCUACGGAGAAAACAACCCUCACCAAGGCAAAGCCUUUCCAUUAUUAUCCAAUUCUUUGCCUCCCCUCCCACUGAACCCCACUUUUCCACUAUAUGAAAAUGUUCUCUAUCUCUCCCUCCACUCUCCGUUUGCUACAUGUCCUUGCUGUUAUCUAAGUAUCUAACUGAUUCUCUCCAUCCCCAAUCUGAUGUUACUGUUUGUCAAAAUCUGUUUCUAUUUUAUUAUUAAAAAUAUCCUCAAGUAUAAGGAUUCGGUUAUAUAGGAGUACUAGUAGGGAUUUAGUUAUAUAUGAGUACUGAUAGGGAUUUGGCUGUAAAGUAAUCUAGUGUGUGUAUAUUUAUAUAUAUAUAUAUAUGUCAACAUAUUUCAAUUUCAAUAAAUAUAUUUUACCCUAAUUCUUAAGAUGGUAUCAGAGCUCUUGGUUUAAGUCUUGCUUCCGCAUAAAUCCUACCCGCCUUUAUUGCAGUAACUUUAGCAACCGCCAUUUUGGCCCUUUGCUGCCUUCAUUGCAGUCUGUUUGUGAUUCCUAAAGUCUGUUUGCUGCCUCCAUUGUCCUGAAACCAGCUGUCACUGCUGUGAACACAAUUUUCGACUUCUCUCACCACUGUUGGCGAUUGUUGACCACUAUACACUGGCCAUAUCACACCACCGCCUACACUAUCAGACUUGCCUCGAAGAAAUUGGCCAAACCCCAGAAAAUCGCCGCCGUCUAAAGCCUGACACGCCGCCACAACUCCGGUGGCCACGUCACGCUUGUAACCCACACGCCGCCCUCCAAUCAGCCGUUCACCACCUUCUUUUCGCAGAUUGUAAAUCGAAGGUUUGCUGUAUGCUUUUGGUGGUUACUUUUCAGAUCGGAGAACUUUGGUCUGUGGGUUCUUUGAAGCGCGCCUUUUUUUCUGAUAAGAAACUUGCUGUUUUUUUUUGUUUUUCAUGCAUGGCUGGAGAAGUAGUGAUUAAUACUGAAACCGAGACUGAAACGGGAAAUAAAAAAUUCCAAGCCGAAUUGCAAAGCAUCUCAUCCGUUCACAAGUUGAAUGGAAAGAACUAUUUGAAGUGAUCUCAACUUGUGCACAUUUUUUUGAAAGGUAAAGGGAUGGCAGAACGCUUAAUAGAUGAAUUCCCCAAAGAAACAGAUCCCAAGUUUUAGUGGUGGGAUAAAGAGGAUUCUAUGAUUAUGGGAUGCAAUGACCUCAGACUCAAAAAUCAAUGACACUUGCAUGUUUCUCAGCACACUGAAGAAGAUUUGGAAGGCAUUAGAAGAUACUUAUUCUAAAGCCAAAGAUGCUGCCCCAAUAUAUGAUGUGAAGGUGAAAACUGGGGCUGCUAAACAAGGAAACAAGACUGUUACUGAGUAUGCAAAUCAUCUCAAAGUUUGUGGAUGGAGUUGGAUCAUUGCAAAGUUAUAAAAGCCAAGUGUUUAGCAGAUGCUUAUUCAAAGAGUUUAUGGAACAAGAUUAAGUCUAUGAUUUUUUGAUGGGACUCAACUCUGAUUUUAAGUUAGAGUGCAAAUCCGUUGUAAUGAGAAGUACCGGGAAUUAAAUAGGUAGUGGCUAUAGUGAGGAGUGAAGAAAGGAGAAGGGGACUAAUGCUGACAGUCCCACCUAUAGAAAGCUCAACAAUGCUAGCUAAGAAGAAUUCAACUAUGAUGGUUGAUCAAAAGAAAGGAGGAGUAACUUAUGUGGAGAAGAAAGGCGAAGGAGUAUGGUGUACCUAUUGCAACAAGCCUUGCCACACUCGUGAAAAAUGUUGCAAAUUGAAUGAGAAGCCACCUACUAGAGAGUGGGGCUCUCAAAACCCAAACAAGGAGUGGGGAAUAAAGGGAGGUCAAGCACACAUAGCUAUAGGUAAUUGUUAAGAAAGUCGAGAAGGUAUGAUGCAACUGAACCAAGAUGAGGUAGAAAAGUUGAGAUCUUUACUCACUAAUUUGGAGACUCUCACAGGACAAGAACUCGGGUAGGAUUGUUGGAAAUGCUAGAGAAUGGAAUGGCCUUUACUAUUUGGAUAAGCAAGACUUAGCUCCGAAGUUACUCAACAACAAAAACUCUUUUUUUUUUUCUUCAGAAUCAAUAAAAACCGUUAGGGAGAAGGUUCUUCUAUACCACUGUUGCCUUGGUCACCCUUCAUUUAGAGUCAUUAAGCAAAUAUUUCUUUUGGCUUUUAAGAAAUUAGAUGUAGACAGUCUUCACCAUGAGGUGGGUGAGUUUGCUAAAUACAAACGUGUACCUUUUCCACUCAAUACUUAAAUAAGUACUUUUCCGUUUUA
Cicer arietinum (chickpea) is the source of this 3332-nucleotide non-coding RNA. Lineage: Eukaryota; Viridiplantae; Streptophyta; Magnoliopsida; Fabales; Fabaceae. The record is from RefSeq and is a predicted model, not a curated record.